AUAUAUAUAUAUAUAUAUAUAUAUAUAAGCUAAAUAAGUGAAAAGGAAAAGGAGUCCUGAAAGGGAAACUUUACGCACGUAGGCACGUGUUAGAAGAUACGUGUAUCAUGGAAUGUACGUCAUUUCGUACGUCACUACGGCAAGUUAGUGGAAACGCGUUGCAUCACCUCUUUUUGUUGACUGCUCUGUGUUGUGUUGUGCUUUUUUCGGGAUUUCAGUCAACUCUACACCAGUUGUAACUCUGCAGAUUGCCAGUCCUUGUAUUCUGAAGUACAACUAUCAGGCUUAACAUCAGCUUGAAGUCACAUUCCGACUAAAGGCAGUAGCAGCCAAUAAAACCAACACGAAGGACACUUUCAGCAUCUUGGAGUCCAAAAGCUUUAUGCUAUGUUCACACAUACACAGGUUGUAACUCUGCAGAUUGCCAGUCCUUGUAUUCUGAAGUACAGAUCCUACUGGUCUCUGUACUAUGAUGUACUACUGGUUGCCAUAGUAAUGAUGGUUAACAGUGUGUUGCACAACAAGCAUUCCACUUGACAACAAAACCUUUCCUCCAGCUAAAAUGUAAGAUUCUGGAGGGAGAUAUGUUUGUAUAUAUAAUUCACCAGUGUAUAUUUAUAUAUGCAGCAUCAUAGCAAUCACUCUCACUCUCGCACUCAUUUUCUUAUCCUAACUACCUCGGGUCUCAUGGGGAGCCUGUGCCUAUCUCAGGCAUCAUCGGGCAUCAAGGCAGGAUACACCCUGGACGGAGUUCAAUAGCAAUCAUACAAGAAGAAAAUUGAAAAUUGGUGUACCGUUUUGCUCCAUAUUUGCAUAAAGUAUAUAUGCAGCUCAGAUCAGAUCAGCAUAAUCCAGUCCAGGCUUAGCAAAAACAGACUAUUUAUUAGACUAUAACAGACUAUACAUUUCUUUGCUGCAUGGAGCCUAGGUGUAAUGCCACAUUUAGAAUUCUUAAAUGUAAAAGCAUCAAAUGUACCCUUUUCUAAACGUAUAAAUAUACAAUUAUGUAGUUAAUGCCUGCCAGAAUAGACAGCAAAAAUGCAGCUGCCAGAGAUCUCACCAGGUCAAGGAAAUAUGAAUAUAUAACACCAAUUUUAUCAUCCCUGCACUGGCUACCUGUUAAGUGCUUUAAACAGUUUAGCUCCCAUGUACCUAACCAGUCUUCUAAUAUGAUAUAAUCCCUCAUGCACAAAACUCUGGACUUCUGGGGGUUCCCAGAAUAUCAAAGUCUACUAAAGGCAGUAGAUUGUUUUAGUAUUUAGCUCCUAAACUUCGGAAUAGCCUUCCUGACAGUGUACUUGCCUCAGACACACUUUCAAAGUGUAAAUGUAGAUUAAAGUCAUAUGUCUUUAGCCUGGCAUUCACAUAAAACCACUCCACUACAUCAGCUUAAAUGUACAUUAUCAACAAGUGCUUGCUAAUAUUUAAUAUAUUAAUAAUAACAACCUUUGCUAAUAUUAUGAACAGCAGCUAUGCUAAUCCCUCUCCACUUGCUUUUCUUUUUCUGCCCAUCCCCAGUCAUAGAAAUUGUGCCAGCUCCAGUUGUGUUACACUUCAUGAAGAUUUACGAUCUCAAAGAGAAGUGGCCAACCCUGGAAAGAUCCCGAGGCAUCUAGAGAUGUCUGGUUGGAUUCCACUUCAUGUAGAUUUCAAAUAUUCGAAGAGAAUUUGCCGACCCCAUUAGGACUUUCCGGAGAGCAACCUCUGAAUCAAUACACAAAAUAACACCCUACAUAUGCUGUAUCUCCAUUAUUAUCAUUUGAAUGCUUCAUCACAGAGGAGUUGGUGUUGAAUUUAUAAUGAACUCAGACGAUGAACUAAUUUAUGAGUUGAUCAGGAGCUCCUGGUUAUACAAUUAUUAAUUGACUGUAUAUGACUGUUGAAAGGACAUUAUUUAUAAUCACACUCCAUAUUCCAAUUCACAGUUGACUUUUUUUGGCCAAGUUGACACAGUUGGCCAACCUCACACAAAAUUUGUAGAAGUUCGUAGAAAAAAUGUAGAAAAGAAAUAGCAUAUAUCGGACCUUUAUGGCUACUCACCAAGUGGUUGCUGAAAAGACCUAUGUAAGGCAAAAAAAUCAAUACUGGUGAACUCUCUGCACUAAUGAUGGGCUUCAUAAACUGUCUGGGUCACCCUGUGAGGAGGCUCAAUGCUGUAAGUCAAUUUACUUAGUCCUGACCUAAUUAUCAAAGCAAGUAUGGCAAGUAUGGCUGUAUAAUUUUCUAUGUUUAUUCCUAACUAAAUUGUUAUUAUCUAGUUUUAAAUAGUAAAAAAAUCUAGUCAAGUUUAAGAUGUGGCAAAAUAUGUGGGGACUGGAGUAGACUAAAAUGAAGGUUAGAUAUUAACACAGACACAUUCUCUCUGUCCCUAUAUAUAACAAAUAGUGAAUAAAGUUAAAACCAUUCUGAACUGUAAACUGAGGUCAUGUUUAAAUGUCAUCCGAUAACAAAUGAUUCCUGGCACUAUGCUGGCCCCAUCAUGUUGUCUGGCCAACAUAUCUCCGUGGGAUGAAAACUAUGAAAUCAUAGCUGCCAUAACACAGCUGACACUCAGCCUUGAUAAGACCAGGUUCCUUAUAGAAGGCCCACAACAUUUAAAUGCCACAUGAGCACUACCUACAUUUGGAUCAUUUCGCCUCUGAAUCCAAAUGUAUUAAUAAAACUACCGGUAUUCAUGUUUCUUCUUAUGAUUGGUCUAGGUUUCUCUAGGUUACUUUCCAUUAAAUUUAGAAAUAGUGAAACAGAACUAAUAAUGCUAAUAAUAAAAUUAGUAACUAGCAAUUGUGUUUUGUGUGCCUCAUUCUGCAUGGCUUGACAUUUGACAUACUCACCAAACAAACUUGAUUUUGUGACUUUCUUGUAACAGAGGGGAAAUUCAUACGGUACAAAAGGUUGAAUGCUAAAUGCAUGAAAGUUAAAUAUAAACUGAAAAAAAAGUUUGCAUAAUGUGUGAUUCUAAUCACUCCAUGAAAAAGUAUGUGACUUGUCUUGGUUCAACAACUACACUGUUUUCUGAAAGAAUACUUGCCUCCCCCCGCCAACACACAGUACUUUUACAUUUCUUAAGAAGGUACGUUUGGCAUUUGAAAUAUCUUCUCCUUUAUUUCCCCAGAAUAUUAGGAUUUAGUCUUUACCCCAUGUCACCACUGCGUUCAUCCUGAUUUAUGGGAAUUGUCAAGAAUGCCUAUGCUUUGUUAUUAGUUCUAGUGAGAUUGAGAUUUCAGCUUAAUCUUUGCUGUCAACAUUGUUAACAGCUUCACAGACGUUAUCCAAAAUAUCAUACAUUUCUGAAAGAUUUCUUUAUCUGGAUCUCUACCUAUGCUACCUAAGCUAUUCAAUAUAGGAUUAUUCCUGAAGUUUAAAACUUUAUACAGACUGUAUUUACAGACUUCUCUAGGAGAAACACUGCUAAUACUGUGUCUUGCCUCAUCCCCUUAACUAGUAAUAAUUCAGUAAUAUAAUAAAAGUCUAUUUCGGAAAAGCACUGGCAGUUAUCGUGAUGUUAUUGCAUUAGUUCUUAUAAAGUUGUUUUUCCCUUUCAAAGAGCAGCAUGUUUUUCUGCUAACACCAAAUUAUUUGGCUUCUCUGGGAGCUUAUAGGCUUCUGGCUUGUUUUAUUUCUGUCUCCAAAACAAGGUGGGGGCAGAGUGAAGGGGCAUUUGGGAGUGUCUACAAAAUGGCUGACAGGAGGCUCACCCAAAACCACUUCCAGUCUGGAAGGCAAGUUUUCCAAACAGCUUUCGCAGCCACAUAACACACGUGUGCUGAGGCCAUGGUUACUCUUUUUUAUUAUGUUCUGGUAUUUCUGGUAACUUUACCUAACCUUACAUCCAUGUAUAGUAUCCUACAAAUGUAUUAAAUAUAGUCUAUUAUUAUAUACAGUUAAUUCGAUAUGAAUGGCACCCAGUAAGACUAGUUCAUACACAUUAAAAACUGUGAGAAAUCAAGAAACUGUGUAAAAAAUAAAUUUUGAUAUUUUUAAUUUAAAUGGCUGAUGUUCAAAUUUUGGUGUUUGCUAUACAGUCUAUAUGAGGGGAAGUUACAAUCUUCUGUAUGUGCUGAAUUGAUUUCACUGGAACUUCACAAAGGGAAACAGAACAUGUUCAUUUGUGUGAGUCAGUGUGGGGGUGGAGUGGCAGGAAACUCCAAGCUUUUUCUACACCACGACUGGGACAUUAGUGUGGAACGACUGGAAUUUCCUGCUUGAGAAAAGUAUGUGUUAUUCUGGAUGAGUCAUUCUCAUAUUAUAUCAGUAUGUAACCAACAGCAAUAAAUACAAAUUCCUCUGUA
This is a long non-coding RNA of Tachysurus fulvidraco (yellow catfish), 4289 nucleotides long. RefSeq lists it as uncharacterized. The record is from RefSeq and is a predicted model, not a curated record. The transcript has 2 exons. Lineage: Eukaryota; Metazoa; Chordata; Actinopteri; Siluriformes; Bagridae.